This 229-nucleotide ribosomal RNA is filed under the name uncultured bacterium. RNAcentral's name for it is "partial 16S ribosomal RNA". It matches the Rfam family "Bacterial small subunit ribosomal RNA", at positions 568 to 796 of the family's 1533-position model. The record is from RNAcentral.
CGCGUAGGCGGACCUUCAAGUCGGGUGUGAAAUCUGUUGGCUUAACUGACAGCCUGCAUCCGAUACUGUUGGUCUUGAGUACAGGAGAGGAGAGUGGAAUUCCAGGUGUAGCGGUGAAAUGCGUAGAUAUCUGGAAGAACACCAGUAGCGAAGGCGGCUCUCUGGACUGAUACUGACGCUAAAGCGCGAAGGCUUGGGGAGCAAACAGGAUUAGAUACCCUGGUAGUCC